UGCUUUUAUGUCAUCAAAAAAGUCAAAUAUCUUUGACUGUAUUAUUGCAUGUCUCCUAUAGUCUUCUCACAUACAAUGUGGUCUGAUUAAAGCCCUCAAAAAG
Long non-coding RNA from Etheostoma spectabile (orangethroat darter), 103 nucleotides. RefSeq lists it as uncharacterized. The transcript is spliced from 3 exons. Lineage: Eukaryota; Metazoa; Chordata; Actinopteri; Perciformes; Percidae. The record is from RefSeq and is a predicted model, not a curated record.